ACUGGGCCAAGACUCUGUCUCAAAAAAAUACAUAUAUAUAUUUUAAGUAUUUUUCAAAAUUACACUUUAGCACUUAUAAAUUUUAUAUAUAAUACUUUAUUGAUGGCAUUGUAUAUUAGUCCAGCUUUUUUGGCUACACUAUUUAUGAAGGAUUCUUUUUUUUUUUAAGACAGCCACCAUAGGAAAUAUGCCAAGUACAGAUAGUGAGGAAAGAAAGGAAGAAAAACGAUAAUUAUCUGCAAGUGGGCUUAUUUUUAACACUGCUAAAUUUCAUUUGUAAUUUUACUUUCAAGAAUGUACUCUGGUAGACUGAGGUGGGUGCAUUGCUUGAGCCCAGGAGUUGGAGGCUUCAGUGAGCUGUGAUCACAACACUCCACUCAGCCAAACCUGAGUGAUAAAGUGAGACCCUAUCUCUUUAAAAAAAAAAAAAAAAAAAAAAACCCUUUGUUAUUGAGUUAUUUUAUGUAAUUUAUUGGUAAAUACCUAACAUUUUAGACCUAGUCAUUACCAGUUAACAGAAUUUAAUUGGAUGCAGUCUUUAUUCUUGAAAAACAAAUUAAUUUUUGGAAUAACUUAAAUUCUAAAACUUUGGCCGGUUGCGGUGGCUCAUGCCUAUAAUCCCAGCACUUUGGGAGGCCGAGACGGGCAGAUCACCUGAGGUCAGGCAUUCAAGACCAGCCUGGCCAACAUGGAGAAACCCCGUCUCUACUAAAAUUACAAAAUUAGGCGUGAUGGCGCAUGCCUGUAAUCCCAGCUACUUGGGAGGCUGAGGCAGGAGAAUUGCUUGAACUCGGGAGGUGGAGGCUGCGGUGAACCAAGAUCGCGCCAUUGCACUUCAGCCUGGGCAACAAGAGUGAAACUCCAUCUCAAAAAAAAAAAUUCUAAAACUUUAAGUGAAAUUUAUUAUCCCUUCCCACUUAUUUUCUGUGGUUUUGUGUGUAUAGAGCAUCUUCCUUUGUUACCCAAGUACCUUGAGUGGGUUGGAAACUGGCAGUAGAAGAUUAGAGUAGCCAAUUGAUAUGUAAACCGAGUGUCAGAUCAGAUGAGAUGAAAGAGGUGGAGUUUAAAGCAAGUGAGAUAUGAUAAACAAUGAUGAAAGCAAAAAUAGGGCAGUUGAACCAGAGUCAGCCAGUAGGCAUAAUUGUCAAUAAAUGAGGCAAGUGUAGAAUAACUAAUAAUGAUUGGAAUCAAGGAAAAGAGCAUGAAGGAAUCAGCUCAAUUAGUAUGUUUUAUCCAUGGUUACAUGACUAACAAAGGAUUAAAAAGAAAUUAUUCACUAGAUAAUUUUUUAAAUAAAAAUACUGUUUAUGUUAA
Non-coding RNA from Macaca mulatta (Rhesus monkey), 1314 nucleotides. The record is from RefSeq and is a predicted model, not a curated record. Lineage: Eukaryota; Metazoa; Chordata; Mammalia; Primates; Cercopithecidae.